Molecule: signal recognition particle RNA, 295 nt
Filed under: Zalophus californianus (California sea lion)
Lineage: Eukaryota; Metazoa; Chordata; Mammalia; Carnivora; Otariidae
Also listed under: 1 other name
Description: Metazoan signal recognition particle RNA (ENSZCAG00015011674.1)
Rfam family: Metazoan signal recognition particle RNA
About the family: The signal recognition particle (SRP) is a universally conserved ribonucleoprotein. It is involved in the co-translational targeting of proteins to membranes.
Source: RNAcentral
ACUGGGGGCAGUGGCCCACGCCUGUAGCCCCAGCUACUUUGGAGGCUGAGGCAGGAGGAUCACUUGAGCCCAGGAGUUCUGGGCUGCAGUGCCCUAUGCCAGCUGGGUGUCUGCACUAAGCUGGGUAUCAACAUAGUGACCUCCCAGGAGUCAGGGGACCGUUGAGUUGCCUAAGGAGGGGUGAACCGGCGCAGGUCAGAAACGCAGCAGGUCAAAACUCCUGUGCUCAUUAAAAUGGUACUGCCGCUGUGGAAGGUAGUUUGACAGUUUCCUGCAAAACUAAACACAGACUUAC